This 1131-nucleotide long non-coding RNA is filed under the name Mytilus galloprovincialis (Mediterranean mussel). Lineage: Eukaryota; Metazoa; Mollusca; Bivalvia; Mytilida; Mytilidae. The record is from RNAcentral.
AAUGCAUUAUAUUUCAAAUUAAAAGGUAACUUUUAGAUUUAUGUGGUAUUUCAAAGAUGUAUUCUUCUCUAGAUACAUUAUCCAUUGUCCCUUAUACGAGGAUGACUUAAAAAUAUGAAAUUUAUAUACGUUUAUUUUUUUCAACUUUCGUUUUUGGCUCGUAUAGAACCAUGAUGGUCAGUUGACAAAACACCAAAGAAAUACCACCAAAUCGAAAGAAAACUCCAAAUCUUGUAAUAAUAAAUAUAUCUUAUAUGUGAAAAAAAGAACAAAUUUCCGAAUUUUAUUUGACAUAAUUCGUUACAACAUAAUGCAAAGAACCGUUACUCUUAUCCUUUUUGUGUAACAAUAUAAUAUGUAAUAAUAACUAUAAUAUAGUUUUUAAUUUAAACUCCUAAAAAGAAAAUAGGAAAAAAGAAACUUAACACAUUUGAUUCAAAACAUGUGUUUUGAAAUCAAUAUAAUCAUUCAUUUUCGAAUUUUAAAACAUUUUUAAAUGGUUGCUAUGGAAACAAACUAUUUAGUCAAUUCAAAGUUUAAACUUUUUUAAUAAUUUGGGGUUUUGUCUGUUAACAUUUAAAAUACCAUAUUGUUUUAUUGAUAAACAAAAUUUCGAUGGGACUUUAGAUUCAAUUUUCAAUUUUCAAAAGCGUCUUUUUCACCUAUAUUCAGGCAAAAUGUUGUAUUGACGGUUACCAUGGCAACGCAUAUUAUACAGGAAAAAUAAUGACAAAAUUUACUCAUAUACAAAUGUCUUUAUCAUAUAGGGCAAAACAAAUUAAUUCUGUGACAUGUCAUGAAUCACCCUCUGCAUGAUUUUUUUAAAAAUACAGAUACUUUAAACCCAAGUCAAAUUGAAUUCAAUUUUAGAAUAUUUACUUUUAAAGAUGGUACCACCGACUGCAAAACUAUUUUUAUGGCUAAUAAUUUAUCAUUGAUUCUAAUUUUGUAGUGUGUUUAAUGGCUGCACCAUCUCAAAGCUGUGGUGUUUGUGGACCUCCGUCACAUCAAAAAACCAUGCAUAGUCUGUGUACAGAAUGUGACGAGGGACUAUGUUCAGAAUGCAAGGAGCAUCAUAGUUUGUCUAAGUCAUCGAGAAGCCACAGUGUGAUACCUAUUGCCGAAUACCAG